RNAcentral lists this ribosomal RNA (461 nucleotides) under uncultured bacterium. RNAcentral describes it as "partial 16S ribosomal RNA". It matches the Rfam family "Bacterial small subunit ribosomal RNA", at positions 338 to 795 of the family's 1533-position model. The record is from RNAcentral.
CCUACGGGAGGCUGCAGUGAGGAAUAUUGGUCAAUGGGCGCGAGCCUGAACCAGCCAAGUCGCGUGAGGGAGGACGGCCCUACGGGUUGUAAACCUCUUUUGCCGGGGAGCAACGGGCGUCACGUGUGGCGCCACUGAGAGUACCCGGAGAAAAAGCAUCGGCUAAUUCCGUGCCAGCAGCCGCGGUAAUACGGAGGGUCCGGGCGUUAUCCGGAUUUAUUGGGUUUAAAGGGAGCGUAGGCCGCAUGUCAAGCGUGCUGUGAAAUGUCCGGGCUCAACCCGGGCCUUGCAGCGGGAACUGGCGGGCUUGAGUGCGCGGGAAGCAGGCGGAAUUCGGGGUGUAGCGGUGAAAUGCGUAGAUAUGACGAAGAACCCCGAUUGCGAAGGCAGCUUGCUGGAGCGGAACUGACGCUGAUGCUCGAAAGCGUGGGUAUCGAACAGGAUUAGAUACCCCAGUAGUC